Poecilia reticulata (guppy) is the source of this 248-nucleotide non-coding RNA. The record is from RefSeq and is a predicted model, not a curated record. NCBI's taxonomy places the organism in Eukaryota, Metazoa, Chordata, Actinopteri, Cyprinodontiformes, Poeciliidae.
GAUUAUUUUACCAAAGUUUCACUUAAUUCUGCUCUUUCUCCUUGUCUAGUGAGACCAAAGUGUCUGGAUUGCAGGAAAGGCUGGAUUUCCUUCAGGGGGCACUGCUACUAUUUUUCUGAUUCAGAUCAUCAUUCAAAUAUCUGGGAGGCGACUCGACAGUUGUGUCAGUUUGAUAGUGGAGACUUCGUUGUAAUUGAUGAUCAGGAGGAGCAGGAAUUUAUCACCAGACGAGCCGUGCCCUUCAGCUC